UACGUAUGGCGGAAGCGUUAUCCGGAUUUACUGGGCGUAAAGGGAGCGCAGGCGGCGCGCCAAGUCUGAUGUGAAACCCCGGGGCUCAACCCCGGGCAUGCAUUGGAAACUGGCGGGCUGGAGUGCCGGAGAGGUAAGCGGAAUUCCUAGUGUAGCGGUGAAAUGCGUAGAUAUUAGGAGGAACACCAGUGGCGAAGGCGGCUUACUGGACGGCAACUGACGCUGAGGCUCGAAAGCGUGGGGAGCAAACAGG
RNAcentral lists this ribosomal RNA (253 nucleotides) under uncultured bacterium. RNAcentral's name for it is "partial 16S ribosomal RNA". It matches the Rfam family "Bacterial small subunit ribosomal RNA", at positions 524 to 776 of the family's 1533-position model. The record is from RNAcentral.